AAAAGCGUUCAACAGCGUAAGAGUUUGAAUCUCGAGGCCAGUUUGGGGCUUGUUUGUUUUUUGUUAUCUAUUGAUUGUAAAAAUAUGGUGAGAUGGAACAAUACGGCAGAAGUGUUGGGAUGUGCUCGUCUCUUUCGCCAUCUGUCUGUUGCUACAGGAUAGUAGAAGUAAGGCGAGAGAUGUGGGGUUUUUUUUUUUCAACACCGGAUGAUUAACAUGCAAAUUUUUCGUGUUGCUCCGAGCUGCUGUCCCACUGUUUUGUGUCACCGUGGCCGCUCACGACACUUUACUCUUCCCCCUCAUUCUUUUUCUUGUAUUUCCAUGGCACACUCUCUUUCUUAACUCUUUUUCUCGGACUCCUCCUCUUUCUGUGCCUUCUCUCGCUACAGCGUAUCCCUCCCUUCCUCUUUCUGUGUCUCUACACCACCACCACCACCCUCCUCCUCCUCCCUCCGUCCUUUUUCUCUCCUUCCCUCUUGGCAGCGGUGCCAAAGUGGGCAGGCGGACCGAGGCAAACACAGCGCAGGGCAGAGCAGAGGGCGAUCCAAAGGCUGGCGAAUUGAUUAUGUGGCUGUGUGUGAGCAGACGUCCCUCUGUCACCCCGUGUACGGACAGACGCACUCACACCAGUAGGAGGGGAUUGUGGGAAGGGGGUGUAGCUCUCAGAGGGUGUGCUCUACUCUUCUCUUUUCCCUUCUUCCCGCCAUCACGGCCCUCUUCUCCUUCAGUCCUCCGGCCCAGCCCGCCGCUCACAUACAGGCUCCAGGAAAGUUACCUUUGUGGAUCUUUGAUGAUGAAGCAACGUGGAUGCUGUCCUUGGGGCUGAGGUAGUAGAUUGAAUAGUUGUGGGGUUUUGUGACCUCUUUUUGAGAUAACUAUACAAUCUACUGUCUUUCCCAAGGAGACAGCUGAGUCAGCUACUCGCCGACUGUCAUCUCCAGAUGGGCAAUCGUGCUGUCCAAUCAAAAGAAAAAAAAAAACAAAAAACGCUUGCAGCACUCAACAUAAUUCAAGCUUUUUUUCUUUUUAUUUUUUUUACAUUUUUUCUCCCCAGAACAGGUAAAUUUGGGGCUCUGCCAGGGUGAGGUAGUAGGUUGUAUAGUUUGGUGGGUGGGAUUGCACCCCGCUCAGGUGAUAACUAUACAGUCUAUUGCCUUCCCUGAGGAGCUCACUCGACAUUGAUGAAUAUUCAGCUCACUCUCAUGGCUCAAGCAUCACACUUAUUCUCAGACAUCAUUAAAAAAGAGUAAAAAAAAGGAGCAGGGACAUUUGUGCUUCAAAGGAUUAGUUUAAUUAACCGUGGCUGUUGAACUGACUGAAGCUGUCUUACUGACCUGCUUUAAAAUAUGUACAUCUUAAAUAAAGUCACACUUGCCUCAAA
Long non-coding RNA from Amphiprion ocellaris (clown anemonefish), 1381 nucleotides. RefSeq lists it as uncharacterized. The transcript has 3 exons. Lineage: Eukaryota; Metazoa; Chordata; Actinopteri; Pomacentridae. The record is from RefSeq and is a predicted model, not a curated record.